UACGUAGGGGGCAAGCGUUGUCCGGAUUUAUUGGGCGUAAAGGGCUCGUAGGCGGUUUGUCGCGUCGGGAGUGAAAACACCGGGCUUAACUCGGUGCUUGCUUUCGAUACGGGCAGACUAGAGGCAUGCAGGGGAGAACGGAAUUCCUGGUGUAGCGGUGAAAUGCGCAGAUAUCAGGAGGAACACCGGUGGCGAAGGCGGUUCUCUGGGCAACAACUGACGCUGAGGAGCGAAAGCGUGGGGAGCGAACAGG
RNAcentral lists this ribosomal RNA (253 nucleotides) under uncultured bacterium. Its description in RNAcentral is "partial 16S ribosomal RNA". It matches the Rfam family "Bacterial small subunit ribosomal RNA", at positions 524 to 776 of the family's 1533-position model. The record is from RNAcentral.